This 343-nucleotide ribosomal RNA is filed under the name Holacanthus tricolor (rock beauty). Its description in RNAcentral is "partial 12S ribosomal RNA". It matches the Rfam family "Bacterial small subunit ribosomal RNA", at positions 801 to 1348 of the family's 1533-position model. The record is from RNAcentral. Lineage: Eukaryota; Metazoa; Chordata; Actinopteri; Pomacanthidae.
UAAACACAGACAGUUCACAUACCCUACUGUCCGCCCGGGAACUACGAGCAUCAGCUUAAAACCCAAAGGACUUGGCGGUGCUUUAAACCCACCUAGAGGAGCCUGUUCUAGAACCGAUAAUCCCCGUUCAACCUCACCCUUCCUUGUUCUUUCCGCCUAUAUACCACCGUCGUCAGUUUACCCUGUGAAGGUCAAACAGUAAGCACAAUCGGCAUAGCCCAAAACGUCAGGUCGAGGUGUAGCGUAUGGAAGGGGAAGAAAUGGGCUACAUUCCCUGAAGUCAGGGCAUACGGAUGACAUACUGAAAUGCAUGUCUGAAGGAGGAUUUAGNAGUAAGCAGGAA